Molecule: small nuclear RNA, 166 nt
Organism: Molossus molossus (Pallas's mastiff bat)
Lineage: Eukaryota; Metazoa; Chordata; Mammalia; Chiroptera; Molossidae
Product: U1 spliceosomal RNA
Exons: 1
Source: RefSeq, a predicted model, not a curated record
ACGCUUACCAGGCGGGGGAGGUACCAUGAUCACGAAGGAAGUUCGUUUUCCCAGGGUGAGGCUUAUCCAUUGCACUCAGGAUGUGCUGACCUCUGCGAUUUCCCCAAAUACGGAAAAUUGGAUAGCACAGUUUGUGGUAGUGGAGGACUACGUUCGUGCUCUCCCA